RNAcentral lists this transfer RNA (72 nucleotides) under Marmota marmota marmota (Alpine marmot). It matches the Rfam family "tRNA". From Rfam's summary of the family: Transfer RNA (tRNA) molecules are approximately 80 nucleotides in length. RNAcentral also lists the same sequence under 4 other names. The record is from Rfam by way of RNAcentral. Lineage: Eukaryota; Metazoa; Chordata; Mammalia; Rodentia; Sciuridae.
GGGGGUGUGGCUCCAUGGUAGGGUGCUUGCCUGGCAUGCAUGAAGCCCUGGGUUCCCUCCCCAGCACCACAA